Molecule: ribosomal RNA, 1484 nt
Filed under: uncultured Bordetella sp.
Lineage: Bacteria; Pseudomonadati; Pseudomonadota; Betaproteobacteria; Burkholderiales; Alcaligenaceae
Description: partial 16S-23S ribosomal RNA intergenic spacer
Rfam family: Bacterial small subunit ribosomal RNA
Source: RNAcentral
GGUUCGAUUCUGGCUCAGAUUGAACGCCGAUGGAUGCUUUUGGCUGAUGCAAGUCGAAUGGCGCAAUGGAUUUCGGUCUGGUGGCGAGUGGCGAAUGGUGUGAGUAAUGUAUCGUGGAACGCCUAGUAAGGGGGAUAACUACGCGAAAGGAAGCACACGUACACAGCCCUUCGGGGGAAAGCGGGGACCUUUCGGGCCUCGCACUAUUAGAGCGGCUGAUAUCGGAUUAGCUGUUGGUGGGGUAACGGCUCACCAAGGCGACGAUCCGGUAGCUGGUUUGAGAGGACGACCAGCCACACUGGGACCGAGACACGGCCCAGACUUACGAGUGCAGCAGUGGGGACUUUGGACAAUGGGGAAACCUCGAUCCAGCCAUCCCAGGUGCGAUGAAGGCUUUCGGUUGCAAAAGCACUUUUGGCAGAAAGAACGGCACGGGAUAAUACCCUUGCGCAACUGACGGUACCUGCAGAAUAAGCACUGAAGCACUCACGUGCCAGCAGCUGCGGUAAUACGUAGGGUGCAGCGCGUUAACGGAAUUACUGGGCGCAAAGCGAGGCGCAGGCGGUUCGAAAGAAAGAUGAAAUCCCAGAGCUUAAUCUUUGAACUGCAUUUUAACUACCGAGCUAGAGUGUCAGAGGGAGGUGGAAUUCCGCGUGUAGCAGUGAAUGCGUAGAUAUGCGGAGGAACACCGAUGGCGAAGGCAGCCUCCUGGGAUAACACUGACGCUCAUGCACGAAAGCGUGGAGCAAAUGAUUAGAUACCCUGGUAGUCCACGCCCUAAACGAUGUCAACUAGCUGUUGGGGCCUUUCGGGCUCCUGGUAGCGCAGCUAACGCGUGAAGUUGACCGCCUGGGAGUAUGGUCGCAAGAUUAAAACUCAAAGGAAUUGAUUUGGACUCCGCACAAGCGGUGGAUGAUGGGAUGAUCUUUAUGCAACGCGAAAACCUUACCUACCCUUUGAUAUAGUCUGGAAUCCCGAAGAGAUUUGGGAGUACCCUCGCAAGAGAACCGGAACACAGGUGCUGCAUGGCUGUCGUCAGCUCGUGUCGUGAGAUGUUGGCUAAGUCCUGCAACGAGUGCACCCUUGUCAUUAGUUGCUACGAAAGGGCACUCUAAUGAGACUGAAGGGUGACAAACCGGAGAAGGUGGGGAUGAUUGCCAAGUCCUCAUGGCCCUUAUGGGUAGGGCUUCACACGUCAUAAGCAAUGGUCGGGACAGAGGGUCGCCAACCCGCGAGGGGGAGCCAAUCCCAGAAACCCGAUCGGUCCGGAUCGGUGAAGUUCGCAACCCGGACUGCGGGAAGUCGGAAUCAUAGUAAUCGCGGGAUCAGCAUGUCGCGGUGAAUAUUGUUCCCGGGUCUUGCACAUACCGCCUGUCACACUAUGUGAGUAGUGGGUUUUACCAGAAGUAGUUAGCCUAACCGUAAGGAGAGGGCGAUUACCACGGUAGGAUUCAUGACUGGGGUGAAGUCGUAAAUACAGUAAA